Molecule: long non-coding RNA, 1104 nt
Filed under: Eutrema salsugineum
Lineage: Eukaryota; Viridiplantae; Streptophyta; Magnoliopsida; Brassicales; Brassicaceae
Description: long non-coding RNA (ESAL_LNC000726)
Source: RNAcentral
UGUUCUAAAAUGAAGAUUUAUUUCUUCAAUUGACCUCAGAUAGCUAGUUAUCUAUAUAAGUAAAUGGUAAUAAUGGUUUCACACAUGUACCUAUAAAUGAUAGUGUUAUUUGUUAUCGUUUUUUUGCCAUCUAAAAGCCCAAAAGGUAGAACAAUUUACAACACAUCAAAAAGUCCAAUAAGCAUUACAAGUCAUCCAACACGUAUUACGAUACGUAUAAAUCGUAUAUGAACUCAAGAGCCCAUGUAGGCAGAGAGAUGAAUGUGUUGCAGCACCGCUCAUUCAUCACCAACAAAAUUUCCAAUGAUGCAUCCACCAUUGACCACCACGCCGCCGCGUUAGACCACUGCUCCUUCACCUUUUUUAACUCCUAUGAUUUGAUCUUGUGUACAUCUGAAGUCAGCAAUUUCCACUUCUUCAUGAAUUUCACCAUCGAUCAAUACAAACUUAAGAAAUAUGUCACCCUAAUCCUUAAAUAAUUUUUUUUAAGAGGAGAUUUAGAGAGAUCUAUAACUCACAGCCAAGAGAGGAUGAUGUCAAUUGAAUAUUUCAAACACUUGUCACUGGAUCUGUAUAUCACUGCCUCAAAUAGAAGAGGAACCUAUCUGUUAAAGAGAUAGGACAGAACAACAUCUCAACAGCUGGAAAAUCCUUUCCUUUUUACCGGUGGUCGGUCCCUGGUCCCGGCGAUCAGUCAUGUACCUUCAGACGAUCAUGCACCACCAACCCUUACGAUAACCCUUAUCUCGCUCGGUCAUCCCUCAGCCCACCCAACCCUCAGGAGGUCACCUCCUAUACAUAGUUCUUACCACUAAAGACCAACGAUUAUUCUAUUAUGAAGAGAUCAUUCAUUCCAGUAAAGGAUUAGUGAAAGAUUUCACUCAAGUAGAAAGAACCGAUAAAUAAAACUAGCGAAAAAAAUCCAAUGAACAUAAUCAAAUGACAGAACGAUCCAAAACAAAAGAAAAUCUGAUCAUAGUUGGAAUUAUUAGAUUCGGUUGAAACUGAAAAGAUGAUUCGAUAUUAAUUGGAAUUUACAAAUAAAGUGUCUCUCUCCAAAGAUGGGGAUGAAAGAAGAGAAAGAAAGAAAAACACUUCUCUUGU